Molecule: long non-coding RNA, 508 nt
Filed under: Mytilus galloprovincialis (Mediterranean mussel)
Lineage: Eukaryota; Metazoa; Mollusca; Bivalvia; Mytilida; Mytilidae
Source: RNAcentral
AUGGCCGCCAUGGCUAAAAAUAGAACAUAGGGGUAAAAUGCAGUUUUUGGCUUAUAACUCAAAAACCAAAGCAUUUAGAGCAAAUCUGACAGGUUUAAAAGUGUUUAUCAGGUCUAGAUCUAUCUGUCCUGAAAUUUUCAGAUGAAUCGGACAACCUGUUGUUGGGUUGCUACCCCUGAAUUGGUAAUUUUAAGGAAAUUUUGCUGUUUUUGGUUAUUAUCUUGAAUAUUAUUAUAGAUAGAGAUAAACUGUAAACAGCAAUAAUGUUCAGCAAAGUAAGAUUUACAAAUAAGUCACAUGACCAAAAUGGUCAGUUGACCCCUGAAGGAGUUAUUGCCCUUUAUAGUCAAUUUUUAACCAUUUUUUUGUAAAUCUUAGUAAUCUUUUACAAAAAUCUUCUUCUCUGAAACUACUGGUCCAAAUUAAACUAAACUUGGCCACAAUCAUCAUAGGGGUAACUUGUUUAAAAAAUGUGUGGCGUGACCCGGCCAACCAACCAAGAUGGUCG